GCCCCGGUACCCCAAUUGGCAGAGGGAGCCGCCUCAAACGCGGUCCAGUGUGGGUUCGAAUCCCACCCGGGGCA
This 74-nucleotide transfer RNA is filed under the name Actinomycetota bacterium. Its description in RNAcentral is "tRNA-Leu". It matches the Rfam family "tRNA". Rfam says of the family: Transfer RNA (tRNA) molecules are approximately 80 nucleotides in length. Their secondary structure includes four short double-helical elements and three loops (D, anti-codon, and T loops). The record is from RNAcentral. Lineage: Bacteria; Bacillati; Actinomycetota.